Molecule: long non-coding RNA, 472 nt
Organism: Arabidopsis thaliana (thale cress)
Lineage: Eukaryota; Viridiplantae; Streptophyta; Magnoliopsida; Brassicales; Brassicaceae
Product: other RNA
Exons: 1
Source: RefSeq
ACGUGUCUCUCUCAAUCUCACGAGGACGCUAAAUUCCUAGUCGUGACAUAUUAGUUUUGUACGUACAUGAACUCAGUUAUUGCAGUGGUCCAGGAUCUGAUCAGUUCAAUAUUCCUGGUUUCGAGUUUUCAAGGUCUUUUAAAGUAUAAUAAGUGAAAAUAGAUUGAAAUCAAGAGCAAACGCAAAUCAAAGCUAUGGAGACUGCUCAAGGAACCAGAUGCCUGCAUGCAGGAUGAUUGUUUGCUACACUUCGAUCGGUCUUGAAGAUCAGCAUGAAUCAAUGACCUCACACAGUCACACUAGGUCCUGUUUACUUUUCUUCAAAAAAAAAAAUACAAAAAAAAACGCGACUACGCUAAUGAGCGAAUGUGCUCCAAUUCGACAGCCACUUCGCCAUUGUUGGCCAUUUUUUACCUUUCAUCCUCACACAACUACUAGCCAGUCUUGCCGCUGAUGUGACUUUUCCAUGGUU